AUCUAAAGGGCAGUGCAUUUGCUUCCCAGAUGGACACCUACACCAAAACAGGGAAGGUUUACCUCCAACCAUACAAAACUGGCAAAAAUUGGAAGCCAGUGUUGUUGUCUCUGUUUCCCUCCAGCAGUAGAGAAGUGGGUCGACUGGAGAUCCAGAAUAUCGGAGGCAAAAGGCUGGUGGCACUUGACGAUCGUACAAGACACACUGGCACAGGACAAAGGGGAGACGCAGACUAUAAGCACACAUGGAGG
Molecule: non-coding RNA, 251 nt
Organism: Paralichthys olivaceus (Japanese flounder)
Lineage: Eukaryota; Metazoa; Chordata; Actinopteri; Pleuronectiformes; Paralichthyidae
Source: RefSeq, a predicted model, not a curated record